Molecule: ribosomal RNA, 450 nt
Filed under: uncultured bacterium
Lineage: Bacteria
Description: partial 16S ribosomal RNA
Rfam family: Bacterial small subunit ribosomal RNA
Source: RNAcentral
CCUACGGGCGGCUGCAGUGGGGAAUAUUGGACAAUGGGCGCAAGCCUGAUCCAGCAAUGCCGCGUGUGUGAAGAAGGCCUGCGGGUUGUAAAGCACUUUAAGCAGGAAAGAAGGGGUGGGAGUUAAUACCUUUCAUCAUUGACGUUACCUGCAGAAUAAGCACCGGCUAACUCCGUGCCAGCAGCCGCGGUAAUACGGAGGGUGCGAGCGUUAAUCGGAAUUCGUGGGGGUAAAGCGAGGGUAGGCUGGUGAAAGCCCUGGGCUUAACCUGGGAACUGCGGUGGAUACUGUCGGGCUAGAGUGUGGUAGAGGGGAGUGGAAUUUCCGGUGUAGCAGUGAAAUGCGUAGAGAUCGGAAGGAACACCAGUGGCGAAGGCGGCUCCCUGGACCAACACUGACGCUGAGGUGCGAAAGCGUGGGGAGCAAACAGGAUUAGAUACCCGUGUAGUC